AAAGCUGACAUAUCUUUUAGCAGUAAUAAGUUGUUGUCAUCAUUUGUGUGGCUUCUACUGUAAGGCCACUAAAAUCAAUUAGAAUUUUUUUUUUUAGGCUAAAUAAAUAAAUCAUGGUAAUUAAAUACUUAAUUUUGUCAAUAUUGAAGAGUAGAUUUAUUUAGUGUAAUAAAAAAUCUUAAAUAUUUAUGUGGUGUCAUUUUCUCUUAGUUAAUGGGGAAAAUAUGUGGUGUAUAUAAUUACUUGGUUAUACUCUUACUUUUUCUUUUUAAUAAUAAUUGUUCAAUUACUCCAUCUGUCUAAAUUUAUUUAUUUUUGAUGAAGUUUUUGUAAGUAUUUUUUAAAUAUUUUAAUGUGUUAAUUCUUUUGAUUUAUAGCAUUUUUUGUAGUUCUAAAAGGAUAAAUAGGGUGAUAGAGAAGCAGAUCCUUCAGUUGUUACCCUAAAACCCUAGAACUUGCUUCCAAAUAUGGCUUUGCACGCAUCAUCUCGAAAGGUUGUACAGGAUUAUCUGAUGUUCCGAGCUCUUAUCAAAGGCGACCCCAUAUUUAAGGCUUCCCCAACCCUAAAAUGGUGAUACUAAAGACGAAGUUUAGGAGCCUGAGCAAUGUUGAUGUGAUUGCUUUUGUUUAUGAUUGUAGCGUUAAAUAAGAUUUGUAGUUUUUAUUAUGAAGCUUUUGAUAUACUUUUGGUGCUUUGCAGGAUGGUUUGUGUGCAGAAAAGGUUAUUCUAUCAUGUGCAAUUUGUGUU
Long non-coding RNA from Capsicum annuum, 748 nucleotides. RefSeq lists it as uncharacterized. The transcript has 2 exons. The record is from RefSeq and is a predicted model, not a curated record. NCBI's taxonomy places the organism in Eukaryota, Viridiplantae, Streptophyta, Magnoliopsida, Solanales, Solanaceae.